GGUAGUAAAAGUCGUAACAAGGUUUCCGUAGGUGAACCUGCGGAAGGAUCAUUAGUGAAUGAGACCUCCGGUUUCAAACACCUGCUGCUUUCAGCUGUGCGCCUUCGGGCUUGCACGUUGGAUGUAGCAGAUUCACAACACACCUGUGCACCUUUCAGAUGUCUAGGGCUGAAAAGCCCUGGCGUUUGCCCUUUACACAAAACACAGUCUUUGAAUGUCAUAUAAACUUAAACAAAUACAACUUUCAACAACGGAUCUCUUGGCUCUC
This 268-nucleotide unclassified non-coding RNA is filed under the name plant metagenome. RNAcentral's name for it is "partial contains small subunit ribosomal RNA, internal transcribed spacer 1, and 5.8S ribosomal RNA". The stretch from base 1 to 54 matches the Rfam family "Eukaryotic small subunit ribosomal RNA", at positions 1778 to 1831 of the family's 1831-position model. The record is from RNAcentral.